UGGGGAAUAUUGCACAAUGGGCGCAAGCCUGAUGCAGCCAUGCCGCGUGUAUGAAGAAGGCCUUCGGGUUGUAAAGUACUUUCAGCGGGGAGGAAGGGAGUAAAGUUAAUACCUUUGCUCAUUGACGUUACCCGCAGAAGAAGCACCGGCUAACUCCGUGCCAGCAGCCGCGGUAAUACGGAGGGUGCAAGCGUUGAUCGGAAUUACUGGGCGUAAAGCGCACGCAGGCGGUUUGUUAAGUCAGAUGUGAAAUCCCCGGGCUCAACCUGGGAACUGCAUCUGAUACUGGCAAGCUUGAGUCUCGUAGAGGGGGGUAGAAUUCCAGGUGUAGCGGUGAAAUGCGUAGAGAUCUGGAGGAAUACCGGUGGCGAAGGCGGCCCCCUGGACGAAGACUGACGCUCAGGUGCGAAAGCGUGGGGAGCAAACAGG
This 429-nucleotide ribosomal RNA is filed under the name Chloroflexota bacterium. RNAcentral's name for it is "Chloroflexi bacterium partial 16S ribosomal RNA". It matches the Rfam family "Bacterial small subunit ribosomal RNA", at positions 355 to 776 of the family's 1533-position model. The record is from RNAcentral. Lineage: Bacteria; Bacillati; Chloroflexota.